UACAGAGGGGGCAAGCGUUAUUCGGAAUUAUUGGGCGUAAAGGGCGCGUAGGCGGCCUGGCAAGUGGAUGGUGAAAUCCCUCGGCUUAACCGAGGAACUGCCAUCCAGACUGCUUGGCUUGAGACCGGGAGAGGUGAGUGGAAUUCCCAGUGUAGCGGUGAAAUGCGUAGAUAUUGGGAGGAACACCAGUGGCGAAGGCGAUCACCUGGGGUUAUUCUGACGCUGAGGAGCGAAAGCUAGGGGAGCAAACGGG
RNAcentral lists this ribosomal RNA (253 nucleotides) under uncultured prokaryote. Its description in RNAcentral is "partial 16S ribosomal RNA". It matches the Rfam family "Bacterial small subunit ribosomal RNA", at positions 524 to 776 of the family's 1533-position model. The record is from RNAcentral.